This 683-nucleotide ribosomal RNA is filed under the name Hebeloma perpallidum. Its description in RNAcentral is "eukaryotic LSU rRNA". Lineage: Eukaryota; Fungi; Basidiomycota; Agaricomycetes; Agaricales; Hymenogastraceae. The record is from RNAcentral.
AAGGUUUCCGUAGGUGAACCUGCGGAAGGAUCAUUAUUGAAUGAACUUGGUGUGGUUGUUGCUGGCCCUCUUGGGGGYAUGUGCACACCUACCAUCCUCAUCUCUCCACCUGUGCACCUCUUGUAGAUUUGGAAUUGAUUAUCCGWGGCAACUCGGUCGUGAGGACUGCUAGCACUUAGCUGGCUUUCUUUGCAAUUCCAGGUCUAUGUUUUUCAUAUACCCCAUUGUAUGUAACAGAAUGUAUCAUUGGGCCUUGUGCCUAUAAACCUUAUACAACUUUCAGCAACGGAUCUCUUGGCUCUCGCAUCGAUGAAGAACGCAGCGAAAUGCGAUAAGUAAUGUGAAUUGCAGAAUUCAGUGAAUCAUCGAAUCUUUGAACGCACCUUGCGCUCCUUGGUAUUCCGAGGAGCAUGCCUGUUUGAGUGUCAUUAAAUUCUCAACCAUUAUCAACUUUUGCUGAUAUUGGCUUGGAUGUGGGGGUUUAUUUUGCUGGCUUCUCAUAUAGUCAGCUCCCCUUAAAAGCAUUAGCCGGUGCCCCGCGUGGACUGUCUAUUGGUGUGAUAAUUAUCUACGCUAUAGACAUCUGCAAUCAUAUGGGUUUGCGCUGCUUCUAACAGUCUGUUGAUUCAGACAAUACAUGACAAUUUGACCUCAAAUCAGGUAGGACUACCCGCUGAACUUAA